RNAcentral lists this small RNA (60 nucleotides) under Sinorhizobium meliloti 2011. RNAcentral describes it as "putative ncRNA". Lineage: Bacteria; Pseudomonadati; Pseudomonadota; Alphaproteobacteria; Hyphomicrobiales; Rhizobiaceae. The record is from RNAcentral.
GAAAACCAUGGCGAUCCGAAGCAGCGUGGGCAGUGUUGGAAACAUCUGCCCGCGCUCGAU